GGGUGAGUAACACGUGGAUAACCUACCUAUAAGACUGGGAUAACCUCGGGAAACCGGAGCUAAUACCGGAUAAUAUUUUGAACCGCAUGGUUCAAAAGUGAAAGACGGUCUUGCUGUCACUUAUAGAUGGAUCCGCGCUGCAUUAGCUAGUUGGUAAGGUAACGGCUUACCAAGGCAACGAUGCAUAGCCGACCUGAGAGGGUGAUCGGCCACACUGGAACUGAGACACGGUCCAG
Molecule: ribosomal RNA, 236 nt
Filed under: uncultured Staphylococcus sp.
Lineage: Bacteria; Bacillati; Bacillota; Bacilli; Caryophanales; Staphylococcaceae
Description: partial 16S ribosomal RNA
Rfam family: Bacterial small subunit ribosomal RNA
Source: RNAcentral